RNAcentral lists this ribosomal RNA (468 nucleotides) under uncultured bacterium. RNAcentral's name for it is "partial 16S ribosomal RNA". It matches the Rfam family "Bacterial small subunit ribosomal RNA", at positions 28 to 507 of the family's 1533-position model. The record is from RNAcentral.
GAUGAACGCUGGCGGCGUGCUUAACACAUGCAAGUCGAACGGAAAGGCCAGUGCUUGCACUGGUACUCGAGUGGCGAACGGGUGAGUAACACGUGGGUGAUCUGCCCUGCACUUCGGGAUAAGCCUGGGAAACUGGGUCUAAUACCGGAUAGGACAAUGGUUUGGAUGCCGUUGUGGAAAGUUUUUUCGGUGUGGGAUGAGCUCGCGGCCUAUCAGCUUGUUGGUGGGGUAAUGGCCUACCAAGGCGUCGACGGGUAGCCGGCCUGAGAGGGUGUACGGCCACAUUGGGACUGAGAUACGGCCCAGACUCUUACGGGAGGCAGCAGUGGGGAAUAUUGCACAAUGGGCGCAAGCCUGAUGCAGCGACGCCGCGUGGGGGAUGACGGCCUUCGGGUUGUAAACUCCUUUCGCUAGGGACGAAGCGUAUUUGUGACGGUACCUGGAGAAGAAGCACCGGCUAACUACGUG